UUCUCAACAAUCAAUCUCUUUACCAAAGUUGUUUUCCUUAUGGUACUUUGGGAUAUAUUACACAUUUCAUACACAAUUUCAAAUGUGUUUAUAAAAACUACAUGUACCUUCAAAUGUUACGAUGGUACUUUGCCUCUCCACCCCCCCUCAAAUAAGGAACACUUUCUGAAGAAUCUGAAGCCUUAUAGACAUGAGUAGCUCAUGGGGGAUUUCUGUCCUUCAAUCCAGGUCAUUGUCAUAGGGGGCAAUGGGAGGACAGUGUCUAUAAAAAAAUUUAAAAACAAUAAUAAAACUGACUAAAAGAAAGUCUGCUUUUUAUUAUCACUAUAUGCCGGGAGCUCUAAACCAAUGUCAGUGAUAAAAUACUCCUCCCCCAAAAAGCGUUUUAUUGGUCUAAGGUCCAGCAAUUGCCUUUGAGCUGCUAGACCACUCCCAUCGCCCCACCCCUGGAACAACACUGAUCUUGGCUCAUGUUACAAAGAUCUGGAACAAAGAAAAUAGUCAUGCGCAGAUGCUUUGAAUGAGGUCCGAUGGAUGGCAGAAGAAAGGGCAGUGUUUUGGAAAACUGCAUGCAAUACAUUUUCCAUCAAGGGACACAACUGGUGAACUAAAAGUAUUGGACUUGGAACCAAAAGAUCUGUAUUUACGUCUCAGCACUUUCCAAGCUCUGUGCUCUUGGGCCAAUCCCUAAACUUCACUGGGCUUCACCUCCCUCCUUUGUAAAAUGAGGAGUGGGAGUGACCUGGGAUCCGUUUCACCUUAGAUCUUCAAUGAUUCUAUGGAAUUCUGCUUUCCUGAUGGCUCACAUUUUGAAAUUUUCGGUCUCUUCUUACAGACAACUUCCAUCCAUGAACUUCAGCUGAGUCUAAAACUUUGAGAAGAAAGAGUUAAGAUGGAGUCUGGUUGGUCCUAUAAAGGUUACAGUGCACUUCGUGAUUAAUAGCAGCUUAGGGCAUUUUCAGUUAAUUCUACAUCAUCCUAGAUGUGGCUUGCACACUGUUGCCUA
This 1006-nucleotide long non-coding RNA is filed under the name Equus asinus (donkey). Its description in RNAcentral is "lncRNA (ENSEASG00005029926.1)". Lineage: Eukaryota; Metazoa; Chordata; Mammalia; Perissodactyla; Equidae. The record is from RNAcentral.